Molecule: ribosomal RNA, 346 nt
Filed under: uncultured bacterium
Lineage: Bacteria
Description: partial 16S ribosomal RNA
Rfam family: Bacterial small subunit ribosomal RNA
Source: RNAcentral
CCUACGGGCGACAGCAGUGGGGAAUAGUGCGCAAUGGGCGAAAGCCUGACGCAGCGACGCCGCGUGAGGGAUGAAGGUCUUCGGAUCGUAAACCUCUGUCAGUAGGGAAGAACGGUCACGGUGCUAAGCAGCAGUGAAUUGACGGUACCGGCAAAGGAAGCACCGGCUAACUCCGUGCCCGCAGCCGCGGUAAUACGGAGGGUGCGAGCGUUAAUCGGAAUUACUGGGCGUAAAGCGCUCGUAGGCGGUAUGUCAAGUCAAGGGUGAAAUCCCCGCGCUCAACGUGGGAACUGCCUUUGAAACUUGCAAACUGGCGUGUGUGCGAGGCUAGUGGCAUUCCAGGUGU